AAUAAAAUGCCUGAAAAAGGAUUAUCUUGAUAGGAUAAAUUAUGUAAUUAUUUACUUUUAUUAGUUUUAAUA
RNAcentral lists this transfer RNA (72 nucleotides) under Ixodes kuntzi. Its description in RNAcentral is "tRNA-Ile". Lineage: Eukaryota; Metazoa; Arthropoda; Arachnida; Ixodida; Ixodidae. The record is from RNAcentral.